UGAGUGCGAGCUGCUACGGCAGCGAAGUUGGUGAUGUCAUGCUUCCAAGAAAAGCCCUAUACCCGUUAAGGCAUCAUGGCCUGUACCCGAAACCGACACAGGUGGGGUGGUAGAGAAUACCGAGGGGCGCGAGGUAACUCUCUCUAAGGAACUCGGCAAAAUGGCCCCGUAACUUCGGGAGAAGGGGUGCCACCGCAAGGUGGUCGCAGUGAAGAGGCCCAGGCGACUGUUUACCAAAAACACAGGUCUCCGCUAAGUCGCAAGACGAUGUAUGGGGGCUGACGCCUGCCCAGUGCCGGAAGGUUAAGGAAGCUGGUCAGCGCAAGCGAAGCUAGCGACUGAAGCCCCGGUGAACGGCGGCCGUAACUAUAACGGUCCUAAGGUAGCGAAAUUCCUUGUCGGGUAAGUUCCGACCCGCACGAAAGGCGUAACGAUCUGGGCGCUGUCUCGGAGAGAGGCUCGGCGAAAUAGAAUUGUCUGUGAAGAUGCGGACUACGUGCACCCGGACAGAAAGACCCUAUGAAGCUUUACUGUAGCUUGGUAUUGUGCCCGGGCUCGCAAUGCGCAGGAUAGGUGGGAGGCUUUGAUCAUCGGCUUGCGGGUCGAUGUGAGCCAACGGUGAGAUACCACUCUUUGCGAGCUAGGGUUCUAACGGCCACCCGUCAUCCGGGGGCCGGACAGUACCUGGUGGGCAGUUUGACUGGGGCGGUCGCCUCCUAAAAGGUAACGGAGGCGCGCAAAGGUUUGCUCAGGCUGGUUGGAAAUCAGCCGACGAGUGUAAAAGCAGAAGCAAGCUUGACUGUGAGACCAACAAGUCGAACAGGGAGGAAACUCGGCUUUAGUGAUCCGACGGUUCUGAGUGGAAGGGCCGUCGCUCAACGGAUAAAAGUUACUCUAAGGAUAACAGGCUGAUCUCCCCCAAGAGUUCACAUCGACGGGGAGGUUUGGCACCUCGAUGUCGGCUCAUCGCAACCUGGGGCUGAAGUCGGUCCCAAGGGUUGGGCUGUUCGCCCAUUAAAGCGGUACGCGAGCUGGGUUCAGAACGUCGUGAGACAGUUCGGUCCAUAUCCGGUGCACGCGCAGGAAUAUUGAGAGGAUUCCUCCCUAGUACGAGAGGACCGGGAGGAACGCACCUCUGGUGUACCAGUUAUCGUGCCAACGGUAAACGCUGGGUAGCCAUGUGCGGAGUGGAUAACCGCUGAAAGCAUCUAAGUGGGAAGCCCACCUCAAGAUGAGUAUUCCCAUGGCGUAAGCCAGUAAGGUCACGGGAAGAACACCCGUUGAUAGGCUCUAUGUGGAAGCGCAGUAAUGCGUGAAGCAGAGGAGUACUAAUAGACCGAGGGCUUGACCAA
This 1352-nucleotide ribosomal RNA is filed under the name metagenome. RNAcentral describes it as "bacterial LSU rRNA". It matches the Rfam family "Bacterial large subunit ribosomal RNA", at positions 1564 to 2925 of the family's 2925-position model. The record is from RNAcentral.